This 372-nucleotide ribosomal RNA is filed under the name uncultured organism. Its description in RNAcentral is "partial 16S ribosomal RNA". It matches the Rfam family "Bacterial small subunit ribosomal RNA", at positions 527 to 896 of the family's 1533-position model. The record is from RNAcentral.
AGAGGGUGCAAGCGUUAAUCGGAGUGACUGGGCGUAAAGGGCGUGUAGGUGGGUAUUUAAGCUAACUGUGAAAGCCCUGGGCUUAACCUGGGAAAGACGGUUAAUACUGAAUACCUAGAGUCUAGGAGAGGAAAGCGGAAUUUCCGGUGUAGCGGUGAAAUGCGUAGAUCUCGGAAAGAACACCAGUGGCGAAGGCGGCUUUCUGGCCUAAGACUGACACUGAGGCGCGAAAGCGUGGGGAGCAAACAGGAUUAGAUACCCUGGUAGUCCACGCCGUAAACGAUGAGUACUAGGUGCGUGUUACUUUUAAGUGAUGCGUGCCGCAGCUAACGCAUUAAGUACUCCGCCUGGGGGAUUACGGUCGCAAGAUUA